This 819-nucleotide ribosomal RNA is filed under the name uncultured bacterium. RNAcentral describes it as "bacterial SSU rRNA". It matches the Rfam family "Bacterial small subunit ribosomal RNA", at positions 8 to 836 of the family's 1533-position model. The record is from RNAcentral.
AGAGUUUGAUCCUGGCUCAGGACGAACGCUGGCGGCGUGCUUAACACAUGCAAGUCGAACGAGAUCCAUGAUGUAGCAAUACAUCGGAAGAUCUAGUGGCGAACGGGUGAGGAUCACGUGAGAAACCUGCCCCAGACUCUGGGAUAACAAUUGGAAACGAUUGCUAAUACCGGAUGACGUCGGAGAACCGCAUGGUUCACUGACGAAAGAUAUUUCGGUUUGGGAGGGUCUCGCGGCCUAUCAGCUUGUUGGUGGGGUAAUGGCCUACCAAGGCAACGACGGGUAGCUGGUCUGAGAGGAUGAUCAGCCACACUGGGACUGAGACACGGCCCAGACUCCUACGGGAGGCAGCAGUGGGGAAUCUUGCGCAAUGGGCGAAAGCCUGACGCAGCAACGCCGCGUGCGGGAUGAAGGCCUUCGGGCUGUAAACCGCUUUCAGCAGGAACGAAAAUGACGGUACCUGCAGAAGAAGGAGCGGCCAACUACGUGCCAGCAGCCGCGGUGACACGUAGGCUCCAAGCGUUGUCCGGAUUUAUUGGGCGUAAAGAGCUCGUAGGCGGUUUAGUAAGUCGGGUGUGAAAACUCUGGGCUUAACCCGGAGACGCCAUCCGAUACUGCUAUGACUUGAGUUCAGGAGGGGAGCGGGGAAUUCCUAGUGUAGCGGUGAAAUGCGCAGAUAUUAGGAGGAACACCGGUGGCGAAGGCGCCGCUCUGGACUGAAACUGACGCUGAGGAGCGAAAGCAUGGGUAGCAAACAGGAUUAGAUACCCUGGUAGUCCAUGCCGUAAACGGUGGGCACUAGGUGUGGGUUCCAACUAA